AGUGAACGCUGGCGGUAGGCCUAACACAUGCAAGUCGAACGGCAGCACAGUAAGAGCUUGCUCUUACGGGUGGCGAGUGGCGGACGGGUGAGGAAUACAUCGGAAUCUACUUUUUCGUGGGGGAUAACGUAGGGAAACUUACGCUAAUACCGCAUACGACCUACGGGUGAAAGCAGGGGAUCUUCGGACCUUGCGCGAUUGAAUGAGCCGAUGUCGGAUUAGCUAGUUGGCGGGGUAAAGGCCCACCAAGGCGACGAUCCGUAGCUGGUCUGAGAGGAUGAUCAGCCACAUUGGAACUGAGACACGGUCCAGACUCCUACGGGAGGCAGCAGUGGGGAAUAUUGGACAAUGGGCGCAAGCCUGAUCCAGCCAUACCGCGUGGGUGAAGAAGGCCUUAGGGUUGUAAAGCCCUUUUGUUGGGAAAGAAAAGCAGCAGGUUAAUACCCCGCUGUUCUGACGGUACCCAAAGAAUAAGCACCGGCUAACUUCGUG
This 492-nucleotide ribosomal RNA is filed under the name uncultured bacterium. RNAcentral describes it as "partial 16S ribosomal RNA". It matches the Rfam family "Bacterial small subunit ribosomal RNA", at positions 29 to 507 of the family's 1533-position model. The record is from RNAcentral.